RNAcentral lists this ribosomal RNA (498 nucleotides) under uncultured bacterium. Its description in RNAcentral is "partial 16S ribosomal RNA". It matches the Rfam family "Bacterial small subunit ribosomal RNA", at positions 28 to 507 of the family's 1533-position model. The record is from RNAcentral.
GAUGAACGCUGGCGGCGUGCCUAAUACAUGCAAGUCGAGCGAACUUUUGGGAGCUUGCUCCCAAAAGUUAGCGGCGGACGGGUGAGUAACACGUGGGUAACCUGCCUGUAAGACUGGGAUAACUUCGGGAAACCGGAGCUAAUACCGGAUAACAUUGAAGGCCACAUGGCCUUCAAUUAAAAGGUGGCUUUUAGCUACCACCUACAGAUGGACCCGCGGCGCAUUAGCUAGUUGGUGAGGUAACGGCUCACCAAGGCGACGAUGCGUAGCCGACCUGAGAGGGUGAUCGGCCACACUGGGACUGAGACACGGCCCAGACUCCUACGGGAGGCAGCAGUAGGGAAUCUUCCGCAAUAGACGAAAGUCUGACGGAGCAACGCCGCGUGAGCGAAGAAGGCCUUCGGGUCGUAAAGCUCUGUUGUUAGGGAAGAACAAGUAUCGUUCGAAUAGGGCGGUACCUUGACGGUACCUAACCAGAAAGCCACGGCUAACUACGUG